RNAcentral lists this ribosomal RNA (459 nucleotides) under uncultured bacterium. RNAcentral's name for it is "partial 16S ribosomal RNA". It matches the Rfam family "Bacterial small subunit ribosomal RNA", at positions 338 to 795 of the family's 1533-position model. The record is from RNAcentral.
CCUACGGGAGGCUGCAGUGAGGAAUAUUGGUCAAUGGGCGCGAGCCUGAACCAGCCAAGUAGCGUGCAGGAUGACUGCCCUACGGGUUGUAAACUUCUUUUAUAAAGGAAUAAAGCGAGGUACGUGUGCCUCUUUGUAUGUACUUUAUGAAAAAGCAUCGGCUAAUUCCGUGCCAGCAGCCGCGGUAAUACGGAGGAUGCGAGCGUUAUCCGGAUUUCUUGGGUUUACAGGGUGCGUAGGCGGGUUAUCAAGUCAGCGGUAAAAUCGUGGAGCUCAACUGCAUCUAGCCGUUGAAACUGAUGAUCUUGAGUGGGCGGGAAGCAUGCGGAAUGCGUGGUGUAGCGGUGAAAUGCAUAGAUAUCACGAAGAACUCCGAUUGCGAAGGCAGCAUGCCGGCGCCCGACUGACGCUGAAGCACGAAAGCGUGGGUAUCGAACAGGAUUAGAUACCCGUGUAGUC